This 468-nucleotide ribosomal RNA is filed under the name uncultured bacterium. Its description in RNAcentral is "partial 16S ribosomal RNA". It matches the Rfam family "Bacterial small subunit ribosomal RNA", at positions 28 to 507 of the family's 1533-position model. The record is from RNAcentral.
GACGAACGCUGGCGGCGUGCUUAACACAUGCAAGUCGAACGGAAAGGCCCUGCUUUUGUGGGGUGCUCGAGUGGCGAACGGGUGAGUAACACGUGAGUAACCUGCCCUUGACUUUGGGAUAACUUCAGGAAACUGGGGCUAAUACCGGAUAGGAGCUCCUGCUGCAUGGUGGGGGUUGGAAAGUUUCGGCGGUUGGGGAUGGACUCGCGGCUUAUCAGCUUGUUGGUGGGGUAGUGGCUUACCAAGGCUUUGACGGGUAGCCGGCCUGAGAGGGUGACCGGCCACAUUGGGACUAAGAUACGGCCCAGACUCCUACGGGAGACAGCAGUGGGGAAUAUUGCACAAUGGGCGGAAGCCUGAUGCAGCAACGCCGCGUGCGGGAUGACGGCCUUCGGGUUGUAAACCGCUUUCGCCUGUGACGAAGCGUGAGUGACGGUAAUGGGUAAAGAAGCACCGGCUAACUACGUG